Long non-coding RNA from Hemicordylus capensis (graceful crag lizard), 293 nucleotides. RefSeq lists it as uncharacterized. The transcript has 3 exons. The record is from RefSeq and is a predicted model, not a curated record. NCBI's taxonomy places the organism in Eukaryota, Metazoa, Chordata, Lepidosauria, Squamata, Cordylidae.
AGAGAGAGUCUUUAUGCCUCUGUUGAAGAAGAUAUAUCAGGAAAGGAGGAUGGAAGAUUUAGCUCUUAGCUCUGCCCAACUCAAUUCCUCCCUCUACAGCUAAACUCUGCUCCCAGGCACUGCAAUCAAAGCUCUGAAGGUGACUGCUGGGUCCUAGAGAACAGGCCACACCUCUUCUUUUCCUUUAUCAAUCAGCUUUAUGGCUUAUAACUGUGAUGGAUGGUCUUCCCUUCUAUAUAUCAUGUAAAAGAAUUCAUUCUCAAAGUCUACUUGUGUUCACAGCUUGCCUUCUG